GCGCAGCAGGCGCGAAAACUUCACACUGUGCGAAAGCACGAUGAGGGAAUCCCAAGUGCUUGCACGUAAGUGUAAGCUGUUUCUCUGUCUAAAACGCAGAGAGAGUAAGGGCUGGGUAAGACGGGUGCCAGCCGCCGCGGUAAUACCUGCAGCUCAAGUGGUGACCGUUAUUAUUGGGCCUAAAAACGUCCGUAGCCGGUUUAAUAAAUGCCUGGGUAAAUUGUGUAGCUUAACUAUACGAAUUCCGGGUGACUGUUAAACUUGAGACCGGGAGAAGUUAGAGGUACUCCUGGGGUAGAGGUGAAAUUCUGUAAUCCUAGGGGGACCACCAGUGGCGAAGGCGUCUAACUAGAACGGGUCUGACGGUGAGGGACGAAGCCCUGGGGCGCAAACGGGGAUUAGAUACCCCUGUAGU
This 415-nucleotide ribosomal RNA is filed under the name uncultured microorganism. RNAcentral's name for it is "bacterial SSU rRNA". It matches the Rfam family "Archaeal small subunit ribosomal RNA", at positions 330 to 745 of the family's 1478-position model. The record is from RNAcentral.